RNAcentral lists this ribosomal RNA (493 nucleotides) under uncultured Alphaproteobacteria bacterium. RNAcentral's name for it is "bacterial SSU rRNA". It matches the Rfam family "Bacterial small subunit ribosomal RNA", at positions 384 to 896 of the family's 1533-position model. The record is from RNAcentral. Lineage: Bacteria; Pseudomonadati; Pseudomonadota; Alphaproteobacteria.
UGAUCCAGCAAUGCCGCGUGUGCGAAGAAGGCCUUCGGGUUGUAAAACUCUUUCGUCGGGGAAGAAAAUGACUGUACCCGAAUAAGAAGGUCCGGCUAACUUCGUGCCAGCAGCCGCGGUAAUACGAAGGGACCUAGCGUAGUUCGGAAUUACUGGGCUUAAAGAGUUCGUAGGUGGUUAAAAAAGUUGAUGGUGAAAUCCCAAGGCUCAACCUUGGAACUGCCAUCAAAACUUUUUAGCUAGAGUGUGAUAGAGGAAAGUGGAAUUUCUAGUGUAGAGGUGAAAUUCGUAGAUAUUAGAAAGAACAUCAAAAGCGAAGGCAACUUUCUGGAUCAUUACUGACACUGAGGAACGAAAGCAUGGGUAGCGAAGAGGAUUAGAUACCCUCGUAGUCCAUGCCGUAAACGAUGUGUGCUAGACGUUGGAAACUUAGUUUUCAGUGUCGCAGCGAAAGCAUUAAGCACACCGCCUGGGGAGUACGACCGCAAGGUUA